Non-coding RNA from Pelobates cultripes (western spadefoot toad), 120 nucleotides. The record is from the annotation of a GenBank genome assembly. Lineage: Eukaryota; Metazoa; Chordata; Amphibia; Anura; Pelobatidae.
CUGUUACCAGGAGAUAGUUAUUGCCACUUCACGUUCUCAAAAGAAUAUAUUUCUGUAUAGUUAAGUGUUGAUAUAUUCUUUUGAGAACGUGAAGUGGCAAUAACUAUCUCCUGGUAACAG